Molecule: ribosomal RNA, 1713 nt
Filed under: Triticum aestivum (bread wheat)
Lineage: Eukaryota; Viridiplantae; Streptophyta; Magnoliopsida; Poales; Poaceae
Description: partial small subunit ribosomal RNA
Source: RNAcentral
AUGAUCAUGGAUAACGCCUUAAUUGCAUUUGAGUGCAUCCAUUAUAUCAAGCAAGAGAAGGACCCAGAAAAAAGUUUCUGUGCUUACAAGCUUGACCUUUCCAAGGCUUAUGAUAUGGUUGAUUGGAAUUACCUUAGGCAAACGAUGGAAAAGAUUGGUUUCACUCACAAAUGGGUUGACUGGAUAAUGACAUGUGUCACCACUGUGAGAUAUUCUGUAAAAUUAAAUGGAACAAUCUUGGAUUCAUUUGCACCAUCGCGUGGGCUACGGCAAGCAAAACAAUCUCAGGCAAUGCAUGUUAAGAGUAUUUUGAAUGCUUAUACUGCUGCUACUGGACAAUUACUCAACCCUGCAAAAUGCUCCAUCCUUUUUGGGGAAUAUUGUCCCAUUAUUCAGCAGCAUGAAGUCAGAGCCAUGCUCCAAGCUGAUACCAUAAAUUUUGAAGAGAGUUACCUUGGUUUACCGACUCCUGAUGGUCGCAUGACAAAAGGUAAAUUCCAAAAUCUACAAGUUAAGCUGACAAAGAGAAUGUUGCUUUGGGGAUGCCCCUCACAAGGUGGUAAAGAAGUUCUUAUAAAGUCCAUUGCUCAGUCCAUUCCAACUUAUAUCAUGAGUAUCUUUAAAUUGCCUCUAGGACUUUGCGAUGAACUAAAUCAGAUGAUCCGCAACUAUUGGUGGGGCUCAGAAAAAGGGAAAAGGAAAACACAUUGGAAAUCUUGGGAGGAGAUUACUAAACCGAAGUGUAUGGGUGGUAUUGGUUUUCGGGAUUUCAGGUUGUUUAACCAAGCCUUACUUGCGCGGCAAGCUUGGCGUCUCCUGACAAUCCCGGACAGUCUUUGUGCACGUGUCCUACGUGCCAAAUACUACCCUAAUGGUAGGCUUGAGGACACUGUUUUUGCUGGUAACCCGUCAUCAUCAUGGCAAGGAGUAGCUCAUGGUCUUGAGCUUUUGAAAAAAGGGCUAAUAUGGAGGAUUGGAAAUGGCACCCAAGUGCGAAUAUGGAGAGAUAGAUGGAUCCCUCGAAAACCCUCCUUCCAAAUAAUCUCUGCCAAGGGGCGUUGCAGGUUGAAGUGGGUGUCCGAACUCUUGGAUAUCAAUGGCAACUGGGACGUUGCUGCAGUCCGUCAAUGGUUUCCGCUUGAUGCUGAUGUAAUCUUGAAGAUCAAGAAUUCCGUGCGCAACGAGGACGAUUUUAUUGCUUGGGCUGGAGAGAAGAUGGGCAUCUUCUCGGUUCAUAGCGCAUAUAGGAUUGCCUUUGAAGAAAUGAACCAGCCGAAUCAAUCUUCUUCCAGUAACUCUCCUGAUGGAGAACGAAGAGCUUGGUCAGCUAUUUGGUCUUGUAAUGCUCCACCAAAGACCCGCAUUUUUGCUUGGCGUGCUGCAAACAACUCACUUCCGACUUGGGAUCUGAAGCAUGCUAGGAAGCUGGAGGUUGUGGAUUUAUGUCCAGUUUGUGGCACUGAAAAAGAAGACACGUUUCAUGCUUUGUGUCGAUGUCCCAAUGCCAGGAAUCUUUGGCUUGCAAUGGCUGAUAUUUGGCCUAUCCCCGAUCUUAAAGACAUGAUGAACACAGGCCCGGAAUGGCUUCUCCAUGCCCUGUGCAAAUUGCCUGAUGAGCAGCGCCUGCACCUGGUUAUGCUCUUAUGGAGAAUUUGGUACGUUCGGAAUGAGGUAGUACAUGAUAACCAGCACCGCCAGUUCAGGUUUCUGUAA